Molecule: ribosomal RNA, 2925 nt
Filed under: Escherichia coli
Lineage: Bacteria; Pseudomonadati; Pseudomonadota; Gammaproteobacteria; Enterobacterales; Enterobacteriaceae
Description: 23S ribosomal RNA
Rfam family: Bacterial large subunit ribosomal RNA
Source: RNAcentral
GGGUUGUGAGGUUAAGCGACUAAGCGUACACGGUGGAUGCCCUGGCAGUCAGAGGCGAUGAAGGACGUGCUAAUCUGCGAUAAGCGUCGGUAAGGUGAUAUGAACCGUUAUAACCGGCGAUUUCCGAAUGGGGAAACCCAGUGUGUUUCGACACACUAUCAUUAACUGAAUCCAUAGGUUAAUGAGGCGAACCGGGGGAACUGAAACAUCUAAGUACCCCGAGGAAAAGAAAUCAACCGAGAUUCCCCCAGUAGCGGCGAGCGAACGGGGAGCAGCCCAGAGCCUGAAUCAGUGUGUGUGUUAGUGGAAGCGUCUGGAAAGGCGCGCGAUACAGGGUGACAGCCCCGUACACAAAAAUGCACAUACUGUGAGCUCGAUGAGUAGGGCGGGACACGUGGUAUCCUGUCUGAAUAUGGGGGGACCAUCCUCCAAGGCUAAAUACUCCUGACUGACCGAUAGUGAACCAGUACCGUGAGGGAAAGGCGAAAAGAACCCCGGCGAGGGGAGUGAAAAAGAACCUGAAACCGUGUACGUACAAGCAGUGGGAGCCUCUUUAUGGGGUGACUGCGUACCUUUUGUAUAAUGGGUCAGCGACUUAUAUUCUGUAGCAAGGUUAACCGAAUAGGGGAGCCGAAGGGAAACCGAGUCUUAACUGGGCGUUAAGUUGCAGGGUAUAGACCCGAAACCCGGUGAUCUAGCCAUGGGCAGGUUGAAGGUUGGGUAACACUAACUGGAGGACCGAACCGACUAAUGUUGAAAAAUUAGCGGAUGACUUGUGGCUGGGGGUGAAAGGCCAAUCAAACCGGGAGAUAGCUGGUUCUCCCCGAAAGCUAUUUAGGUAGCGCCUCGUGAAUUCAUCUCCGGGGGUAGAGCACUGUUUCGGCAAGGGGGUCAUCCCGACUUACCAACCCGAUGCAAACUGCGAAUACCGGAGAAUGUUAUCACGGGAGACACACGGCGGGUGCUAACGUCCGUCGUGAAGAGGGAAACAACCCAGACCGCCAGCUAAGGUCCCAAAGUCAUGGUUAAGUGGGAAACGAUGUGGGAAGGCCCAGACAGCCAGGAUGUUGGCUUAGAAGCAGCCAUCAUUUAAAGAAAGCGUAAUAGCUCACUGGUCGAGUCGGCCUGCGCGGAAGAUGUAACGGGGCUAAACCAUGCACCGAAGCUGCGGCAGCGACACUGUGUGUUGUUGGGUAGGGGAGCGUUCUGUAAGCCUGUGAAGGUGGCCUGUGAGGGUUGCUGGAGGUAUCAGAAGUGCGAAUGCUGACAUAAGUAACGAUAAAGCGGGUGAAAAGCCCGCUCGCCGGAAGACCAAGGGUUCCUGUCCAACGUUAAUCGGGGCAGGGUGAGUCGACCCCUAAGGCGAGGCCGAAAGGCGUAGUCGAUGGGAAACAGGUUAAUAUUCCUGUACUUGGUGUUACUGCGAAGGGGGGACGGAGAAGGCUAUGUUGGCCGGGCGACGGUUGUCCCGGUUUAAGCGUGUAGGCUGAUUUUCCAGGCAAAUCCGGAAAAUCAAGGCUGAGGCGUGAUGACGAGGCACUACGGUGCUGAAGCAACAAAUGCCCUGCUUCCAGGAAAAGCCUCUAAGCAUCAGGUAACAUCAAAUCGUACCCCAAACCGACACAGGUGGUCAGGUAGAGAAUACCAAGGCGCUUGAGAGAACUCGGGUGAAGGAACUAGGCAAAAUGGUGCCGUAACUUCGGGAGAAGGCACGCUGAUAUGUAGGUGAAGUCCCUCGCGGAUGGAGCUGAAAUCAGUCGAAGAUACCAGCUGGCUGCAACUGUUUAUUAAAAACACAGCACUGUGCAAACACGAAAGUGGACGUAUACGGUGUGACGCCUGCCCGGUGCCGGAAGGUUAAUUGAUGGGGUUAGCGGUAACGCGAAGCUCUUGAUCGAAGCCCCGGUAAACGGCGGCCGUAACUAUAACGGUCCUAAGGUAGCGAAAUUCCUUGUCGGGUAAGUUCCGACCUGCACGAAUGGCGUAAUGAUGGCCAGGCUGUCUCCACCCGAGACUCAGUGAAAUUGAACUCGCUGUGAAGAUGCAGUGUACCCGCGGCAAGACGGAAAGACCCCGUGAACCUUUACUAUAGCUUGACACUGAACAUUGAGCCUUGAUGUGUAGGAUAGGUGGGAGGCUUUGAAGUGUGGACGCCAGUCUGCAUGGAGCCGACCUUGAAAUACCACCCUUUAAUGUUUGAUGUUCUAACGUUGGCCCCUGAUCGGGGUUGCGGACAGUGUCUGGUGGGUAGUUUGACUGGGGCGGUCUCCUCCUAAAGAGUAACGGAGGAGCACGAAGGUUGGCUAAUCCUGGUCGGACAUCAGGAGGUUAGUGCAAUGGCAUAAGCCAGCUUGACUGCGAGCGUGACGGCGCGAGCAGGUGCGAAAGCAGGUCAUAGUGAUCCGGUGGUUCUGAAUGGAAGGGCCAUCGCUCAACGGAUAAAAGGUACUCCGGGGAUAACAGGCUGAUACCGCCCAAGAGUUCAUAUCGACGGCGGUGUUUGGCACCUCGAUGUCGGCUCAUCACAUCCUGGGGCUGAAGUAGGUCCCAAGGGUAUGGCUGUUCGCCAUUUAAAGUGGUACGCGAGCUGGGUUUAGAACGUCGUGAGACAGUUCGGUCCCUAUCUGCCGUGGGCGCUGGAGAACUGAGGGGGGCUGCUCCUAGUACGAGAGGACCGGAGUGGACGCAUCACUGGUGUUCGGGUUGUCAUGCCAAUGGCACUGCCCGGUAGCUAAAUGCGGAAGAGAUAAGUGCUGAAAGCAUCUAAGCACGAAACUUGCCCCGAGAUGAGUUCUCCCUGACUCCUUGAGAGUCCUGAAGGAACGUUGAAGACGACGACGUUGAUAGGCCGGGUGUGUAAGCGCAGCGAUGCGUUGAGCUAACCGGUACUAAUGAACCGUGAGGCUUAACCUUACAACGCCGAAG